GUGGGGAAUAUUGGGCAAUGGGGGCAACCCUGACCCAGCAACGCCGCGUGAAGGAAGAAGGCUUUCGGGUUGUAAACUUCUUUGACCAGGGACGAAACAAAUGACGGUACCUGGAAAACAAGCCACGGCUAACUACGUGCCAGCAGCCGCGGUAAUACGUAGGUGGCGAGCGUUGUCCGGAUUUACUGGGUGUAAAGGGCGCGUAGGCGGGAUGGCAAGUCAGAUGUGAAAUCUGAGGGCUUAACCCUCAAACUGCAUUUGAAACUGCUGUUCUUGAGUGAUGGAGAGGCAGGCGGAAUUCCUAGUGUAGCGGUGAAAUGCGUAGAUAUUAGGAGGAACACCAGUGGCGAAGGCGGCCUGCUGGACAUUAACUGACGCUGAGGCGCGAAAGCGUGGGGAGCAAACAGGAUUAGAUACCCGAGUAGUCC
Molecule: ribosomal RNA, 428 nt
Filed under: uncultured bacterium
Lineage: Bacteria
Description: partial 16S ribosomal RNA
Rfam family: Bacterial small subunit ribosomal RNA
Source: RNAcentral